This 614-nucleotide ribosomal RNA is filed under the name Ruprechtia coriacea. Its description in RNAcentral is "eukaryotic LSU rRNA". The stretch from base 167 to 322 matches the Rfam family "5.8S ribosomal RNA". The record is from RNAcentral. Lineage: Eukaryota; Viridiplantae; Streptophyta; Magnoliopsida; Caryophyllales; Polygonaceae.
UUGUCGAAACCUGNAAAGCAGAACGACCCGCGAACUAGUUUNUCUGGGGGCGUGUCGGCUCGUACCCCAACACCGGCGCGGGUUGCGCCAAGGACCAAUAAUUCUAUCGCUUCCCGCCUCCCUUGGGCGACCGGGGGAGUCGGCGACGGCGUGUCGACAACAAAACGACUYUYGGCAACGGAUAUCUCGGCUCUCGCAUCGAUGAAGAACGUAGCGAAAUGCGAUACUUGGUGUGAAUUGCAGAAUCCCGUGAACCAUCGAGUCUUUGAACGCAAGUUGCGCCCGAAGCCAUUCGGCCGAGGGCACGUCUGCCUGGGCGUCACGCAUCGCGUCGCCCCCUCCUCCUCCAUCUAGGACUGGGAGAGGGGCGGAUUCUGGCCCCCCGUGUGCCCUGCGCGCGGUCGGCCUAAAUACGGAGCCCGUGGCCGCGGAUGCUGCGACGAUUGGUGGUUUGACGCACGAUUCCACGAGCUUCGGUUUGUGGCAUCGUGAGGCAUCGCGUCGCUUGCCCGANCGGACCACGUAAAGCUCGAAGGACCCUAAGGAAGGAGAGUGGGCAUCCCAUCGGGGAUCCCGUGAUCCACCCUAACCNNNNGACCCCAGGUCAGGCNGGA